GUUUAGUUUCACUUCCACCAGGAUCGUGUCGCAGGUAUUUUUCUCUCCGUGUCAACCUCCGUCUGAAGGUGCAGCCCUGACUGGUUCCAGGAAGUAUCUCACCUGAGUCUCUAGUGUCCAGGUGUGGAGUGGAGACUCUUCUUCUUCUUCAGCUCUUUGAAUAAACGCUGAGUCUGGUUUGUCUUAGGGUCAGGGUUCACUAACUGUUUCUGUCUGUCAUGUUUGGAGAAGAUGUUCACUACAGAGUUUGGAUCACAGCAGCUUUAACUGACAGAAUCAGAGCCAAUCAGUGGAGGAUCAGCUGAUGUUUUUACAGCACAAAUGAUUCCAGUGAAUGUUCAGAUGAAUGAUUUGUGUUUCCUCUGCACAUGAAGGUAGAAAGUUGAUGUGGAUUCAGCAGCAUGGACCAGAGGGAGGACAAAGAGGAGGGAGUCAGACAUCUGCAGGACGGGUUGACUGGUUUCAGUUGUCAUUCAGAAUCAGACUCAGAAUCUGACCCCAGCUUUGUGUCCUUAAAGAGUGAUCACUCACUUGAUCGUGCCAUUGAUUUUAAAGGACAUCAACCCUCUGCUCCUGAGAGGAUCAGUCCAGACCCCAGCUGUGUUUCCCUCAACAGUGAUCAGUCACAUCAUCGCAUCAUUGAAUUUAAAGGACAUCAACCCUCUGCUCCUAAGAGGUAAACCAGUGUCCAGCUUCAUCCAUGAGUCAGAGGAGACUAGCUCCUUUCUACAGUUUCCACUUUAACCUGUGGAGGUUGAUUUGAGAAGCAGGCUUUGGAUCAUAGGACACUGGUUUGAAUGGUAACUGACAGGUAGAACAUGUGUGUGGGUGGAGUGAAGAAGCCAUAUCCAUGGUAGG
Long non-coding RNA from Mugil cephalus (flathead mullet), 858 nucleotides. RefSeq lists it as uncharacterized. Lineage: Eukaryota; Metazoa; Chordata; Actinopteri; Mugiliformes; Mugilidae. The record is from RefSeq and is a predicted model, not a curated record. The transcript has 3 exons.